AUGUCAUCCCGUGAGGUGACGAAGACGCAGAAAUAUAUGAAAUUCUUUAAUGAGAUACCCCUCUCUUUAAAGAAGUCUUACUCUGAGAGCCUGUUGCUGUA
Molecule: small RNA, 101 nt
Filed under: Streptococcus sp. M143
Lineage: Bacteria; Bacillati; Bacillota; Bacilli; Lactobacillales; Streptococcaceae
Also listed under: 2 other names
Description: Streptococcus sRNA SpF44
Rfam family: Streptococcus sRNA SpF44
Source: Rfam by way of RNAcentral